AUACGGAGGGUGCAAGCGUUAUUCGGAAUCACUGGGCGUAAAGGACGCGUAGGCGGGUUGGCAAGUCAGAUGUGAAAUCCAACAGCUUAACUGUAGAACUGCAUUUGAAACUGCUAACCUAGAGUAUGGGACGGGGAGAUGGAAUUAGUGGUGUAGGGGUAAAAUCCGUAGAUAUCACUAGGAAUACCGAAAGCGAAGGCGAUCUCCUGGAACAUAACUGACGCUAAGGCGUGAAAGCGUGGGGAGCAAACAGGAUUAGAAACCCUAGUAGUCC
This 274-nucleotide ribosomal RNA is filed under the name uncultured bacterium. RNAcentral's name for it is "partial 16S ribosomal RNA". It matches the Rfam family "Bacterial small subunit ribosomal RNA", at positions 523 to 796 of the family's 1533-position model. The record is from RNAcentral.